GGUGCUAUCGUGUAGCGGUUAUCACUUCAGGAUUCUUAAUCUUGAAACCCAGGUUCAAUUCUUGGUUAGUGUCU
Molecule: transfer RNA, 74 nt
Filed under: Agaricus bisporus var. burnettii JB137-S8
Lineage: Eukaryota; Fungi; Basidiomycota; Agaricomycetes; Agaricales; Agaricaceae
Description: tRNA-Lys (CTT) (tRNA-Lys-CTT-2-1)
Rfam family: tRNA
About the family: Transfer RNA (tRNA) molecules are approximately 80 nucleotides in length. Their secondary structure includes four short double-helical elements and three loops (D, anti-codon, and T loops).
Source: RNAcentral